AACUUCUGAAUGUUGACCUCGGAUCAGGUAGGAAUACCCGCUGAACUUAAGCAUAUCAAUAAGCGGAGGAAAAGAAACCAACAGGGAUUGCCCUAGUAACGGCGAGUGAAGCGGCAACAGCUCAAAUUUGAAAUCUGGCUUUCGGGCCCGAGUUGUAAUUUGUAGAGGAUACUUUUGAUGCGGUGCCUUCCGAGUUCCCUGGAACGGGACGCCAUAGAGGGUGAGAGCCCCGUCUGGUUGGAUGCCAAAUCUCUGUAAAGUUCCUUCGACGAGUCGAGUAGUUUGGGAAUGCUGCUCUAAAUGGGAGGUAUAUGUCUUCUAAAGCUAAAUAUUGGCCAGAGACCGAUAGCGCACAAGUAGAGUGAUCGAAAGAUGAAAAGCACUUUGAAAAGAGAGUUAAAAAGUACGUGAAAUUGUUGAAAGGGAAGCGUUUAUGACCAGACUUGGACUUGGUUAAUCAUCUGGGGUUCUCCCCAGUGCACUUUUCCAGUUCAGGCCAGCAUCAGUUUUCGCCGGGGGAUAAAGGCUUCGGGAAUGUAGCUCUCUUCGGGGAGUGUUAUAGCCCGUUGUGUAAUACCCUGGUGGGGA
RNAcentral lists this ribosomal RNA (588 nucleotides) under Fusarium acuminatum. Its description in RNAcentral is "eukaryotic LSU rRNA". It matches the Rfam family "Eukaryotic large subunit ribosomal RNA", at positions 1 to 587 of the family's 3401-position model. The record is from RNAcentral. Lineage: Eukaryota; Fungi; Ascomycota; Sordariomycetes; Hypocreales; Nectriaceae.